AAUUUAGUAUUGUAUAUAACAUAUCAAACUGUAAAUUUGGGGAAACGAAAGUCUAAGUUA
Molecule: transfer RNA, 60 nt
Filed under: Metacrangonyx spinicaudatus
Lineage: Eukaryota; Metazoa; Arthropoda; Malacostraca; Amphipoda; Metacrangonyctidae
Description: transfer RNA Tyrosine
Source: RNAcentral